Molecule: ribosomal RNA, 309 nt
Filed under: Lecanora plumosa
Lineage: Eukaryota; Fungi; Ascomycota; Lecanoromycetes; Lecanorales; Lecanoraceae
Description: SSU rRNA
Rfam family: Bacterial small subunit ribosomal RNA
Source: RNAcentral
UAGCGAAAGCUAAUUGCAAAUAUCGACUCUGUCGAAUAAAAUUCUAGGUAGAAUUAUGAUAAUGACAUUAUCUGCCUAUGUGUCUUGACCAAAUUACGUGCCAGCAGUCGCGGUAAUACGUAGAAGACUAGUGUUAUUCAUCUUUAAUAGGUUUAAAGGGUACCUAGACGGUAAAUCAAGCACUAAUUUACUAGAGUUACUUAUGAGGGGGUAUUAAAGUACUGCUGGUGUAGAGAUGAAAUUCUGUGAUACCUCUUUUCGAUGGCACAGGUAUAGGCGAAAGCAUCCCCUUAUGUGAUAACUGACGUU